CCCGCUGAACUUAAGCAUAUCAAUAAGGCGAGGAACAGAAACCAACUGGGAUUCCCUCAGUAGUGGCGAAUGAAGCGGGAAAAGCUCAAGUUUGAAAUCUGGCGGGUGACUUCCAGAGUUGUAAGCUGAUGAGGUGUCGACCGACGCGGCCCGGGCUCAAUUUCCUUGGAACAGGAGGUCAUGGAGGGUGAGAACCCCGUCUGUGGUCCGAGCGUCGUUGUCCCUGUGUCGUGCCCUCUAAGAGUCGGGUUGUUUGGGAAUGCAGCUCAAAAUGGGUGGUAAAUUUCAUCUAAAGCUAAAUAUUGGCGAGAGACCGAUAGCAAACAAGUAGAGUGAUCGAAAGAUGAAAAGUACUUUGAAAAGAGAGUGAAACAGUACGUGAAAUUGUUGAAAGGGAAGCGUUUGGCAUCAGCCCAUGGCGUCCGUCGAUCAUCCGGGCUUCUGUCCGGUGCACUUGUCGGACGUCGGGCCAGCGUCGGCUCUGUCCAUUGGAGAAAGGCCUUGGGGAUGUGGCUCCCUUCGGGGAGCGUUAUAACCCUUGGCGUAAUGCGAUGUGACGGGGCCGAGGUCCGCGGUUCAUACCUAGGACGCUGGCGUAAUGGUUCCAAGCGACCCGUCUUGAAACACGG
RNAcentral lists this ribosomal RNA (629 nucleotides) under uncultured fungus. RNAcentral describes it as "eukaryotic LSU rRNA". It matches the Rfam family "Eukaryotic large subunit ribosomal RNA", at positions 24 to 664 of the family's 3401-position model. Lineage: Eukaryota; Fungi. The record is from RNAcentral.